Molecule: long non-coding RNA, 4651 nt
Organism: Passer domesticus (house sparrow)
Lineage: Eukaryota; Metazoa; Chordata; Aves; Passeriformes; Passeridae
Exons: 3
Source: RefSeq, a predicted model, not a curated record
GCGGCAGCACCCGCCAGAGGCCAGGCUCUCCCGGAACAUCAGAGGCGCACGCAGGCAUGGGGAUAGGGAAGUCAUCCACCUGAGAACAUCUCAUCUAGUGAAGCACAAAGAAGUUCCAGAGAGACAACCUGUACAAAAAAUGCCGAUUUGCACUGAGGAUGCAGUAUUGUAGAAUGAUUGUCACAACAACCUCUUGCUGCUGAAAGAAACAGAAGCAUCUUCUCCUGCUAUUCUCAUCUUCUGAACAGAGGUCAAUAAGAGAGCAGAUCACAGCUCUAAUUACAACAAUUACUUCCAGUGAUGCCAAUACGAUCCAAUCAAAGUUAUGUGAGGCUGUUUUAAGGAGAUUAUUACUACUUUCCCAAGACUCAAAAUUGAAAAAUCAAUUAUGAGAUGUCUAUUUUGCAACAUUUUAAAACUUGCAUCCUCUCCAGACACUUGCUUUCUUCCAGCUCUCUAAAAAUGUUCAGCUUUUUCUUUAAACAUCCCUAGAGUGACAUUCAAUACCGAUACACCAGGAUUACAGGUCAGCAUUGUCUUGUGGGCCAAGUACAAUAACAAAGGUGCUUUCACACACAAGCUGUUAAUGCUUUUUCCUUUCAGAAAAAUGGAACAGGAAAAAAAAAAGCACUGUAAGGUAUUUCAAUUUGCUCCAAAUUACAUCAAUACACAAAGUAAUUCCUUAAAGGUGUUUUCUACGAUCAUUUAAGCAUCAAUUCCAAGCUUCAGUAAUUACUGUGAGAGUGGCAAACACAUCGUACCUUGUUUUAAUCCUGGGGGAAAAAAAUCACCAAUUUCAUCAUCACUUAGAUCUGCUGAAGUCAUCUUUCCUGUGUUUCUCCCCCUCCCAGACAGAGCCAAGAACCAACACUGCAUGUCAGUUUCUGGCAUUUAAAACAAAAAAAAAAACUUCUUCAGCUCGGCCUAUUACAAAUGCUUCCUUCAAUAUAAAACCUAACAAUCAACUGAAGAGAAAUGAAAAGUCAAACCAGGAAAAUACCAUACAUGCUGAGCAAGUAAACCUCAGGAUCUAAAGGUUCCCGAGCUCAGGCUCUAGAGAAUUCAAGUAGAUCAAUUUCCAAGGUCACAAGACCUUCAAUAUCCAACUUUCAAACAUAAACAGAAAUCCAUCAGAAAAAGGCAAAGGGGGAAAGGUCAUCUGGUCACAGAUUUCUACAAAAACACUGCUAACCUUGUAAAUUCAGAAGAGUGAUGGAUUUCGUUAAACUGUUUUAUGCUGCCUGGUAAAUCGUGUCUGCUCAAUGUGCCUAUUUCUACAUAAAGCUUUGAAGGUUCUGAACACAUUAGGCAUAACAAACAUAUUUGAAGUUGACAAAACAUGGGUAAUCUUCUUCAUAAUCCAUUGAGAAUAAAGACCUACCUUACACAGGGGAAGGGCAUGUUAGGUCAUGCUUCACUAAGUCCUUGCAUUUGGCUUGUUCCUAUAAGCUGGAAAUGAGCAACAACAAAGAAAAGCCCAAGGCACAAAAAGCCUCAAGCACAGAAGAAAUGUUUGCCUUCCACUUAUCAGUGUCACUCCUGACUUCUACUAGGAAUCUAUAUACUACUAGACAAAAUUAAAUCUGAUACCGUUCUUCAGUAAAAAUUACUGUAAAGCCAGUCAAUGACACAAUAUUCAUCCUUUUGCCUUCCUGGACCAGAAGUCAUCAGAAUGACUUACCUAUGUAGCACCAUUUCCACAAAUCAAAUUUGCAUAGGCCACUUUCCACUGCACAUCACCAAAGGCAUAAAACAAGCCAUGUAAUUGAUGUUUUCUGUACCACAUCUAAGUUAAUAAGUUAAACAGACAAAAAUCAAGUAAUUUUAGGAUAAACAGUGACUUGACAACCACUUGAUCAUCACCAAAACCUUCUUUUUAUGUAGAACACAUACCAAUCAACAAAACUACUUCACUCUUGAAGUCAGGUAUUUAAGGCCUUCAGAAAUCUUAUACAUCUCAAUUUGCUUACAUAAAAUAAACAAUCACCACAUCAACUUCCCUCCAUCAUUACUUUUCUCUACAUAACACAUGGUUAUUUCUAACUGUAACAAUCUUCAUUUAAACAUGGAAUAAACAAGCAAAAAAUAAAAAACCCUGUAAGAUUCUCUCAAUGUGCCUAACCGUACCCAUACUGAUAAAAAGCAAUCUGCAUCUCAAAUUUUUCCUGCUAUAGACAUGAAUAAAUUCCUCCCUCCCUCAACAGUUAAACUACUAACUCUGAAGCAGUAAAGAAGACACAGCCCAUAACCAAAAAUUUUUACACUGUUAGCAACUGACUUUCAUAUAUUUGCGAUGAUACUGCAGAAAAAUCAAUGUUCUUUCUGAGAAGCUUUGCCACCAUCCCAUGCCCUUCCAUCCUUCACUCACAACACUGUAGCUUGCCUUAUUCAUCCAAAAGGCACAAGACUCUGUCGUUUUUCAAAAUGCAGUGUUAUUUUAUUGUGUAUACAGUAUUUAGUAAAUAUUGCUCCAUUUCGAAAACUAAAAAAAAGUUUCUACCCCUUCACUCUAUGUUGACAGAAACAAAAUAAAAAUGCUUUGUUAUGGGACUAUGCUGGCUUUUCUUCUUGAAAAAGCAAAGUACUUGGAAUUACAAACUUCAGUUUCUGUGUUCUGCUAAUAAGAGAUUAGAAGUUAACAAUGCACCAAAUGUUACAGAAAGUAAGAUUUACUUGCUGGAACAAACAAGACAUUACUAAUAUCCACUAAUAUUAAAGCCUUAAAAAAAUCUGCAAAAAAUUUGCAAUCUACUGAUCUGCAAAUUGCAAAUACUGCAGGUUUUACUCUAGCAUCACAAAAGAAAACUUGAAUCAGAUUAUCAUAUUACAUAUAGUGCUACACACUGUCAAGUUAAAAAAAAACCCAAAACAACAGGGUUUGAGUUUCCUAUACAGCUUUGUUCUUAACUGUAUUCAAAACAACAUGACCUAAACAACUAUGGUGGGAAUGAAACAGAAUUAUUCUAGAAGAAAAUACUUUUGUUAAUUAAAACAGUUCCUCUUCCAUGAAGGAAAAGUAAGUCAUAGCAUAAGCUGUUAAGUCACCCAGACAUAAUAUAACAAGCAGCAUCCUCUUACGCAAUCUGUCUCUUGAUCCAGUUUUCAGAUAGUUUAUGUUGCCACAACCUGGAUAUAUGGAAGGGGAAAUAAAAUAAAUACCAUAAUCUAACAGAAAAAUAGUUUUUGUUAAACAUAUGACAAGAUCUUUAAUCACUUAUUGUAGUUCCAUCUCUAAGUUUUGGUCUCUCAAGGCUGCCAUACAUGAGAACUCUCUUUUCCCUAAAAUAUAUCAACAUUUUAAUAAGAUCCUUCUCUGUGGUUCCACUGUUUACAUUACCCAUUUCAGCUAUGAAAAGUUGCUUUGUAUUGUCUUCCUCCUGGGAAAGCUUUUUUUUGCAUACAUACUGACAAAAAACUUCCAUUGAAAAAUCAAGUCUCACACUGCGCUCUCAAAACUAAGCCGGCUCAUCCUGUUCUUUGCUGACAUGCAAUUCCAACAAAAGAACAAAAAAAUCUGAUCAUAAACACACCUUACCUUGAGAACCUUCCCAACUGAGUUCAGCGUGAGUCAACACGAAAGUAGCUUUCAGGCUAUUCUUUAUUAAAGAGUAACAGAACCAUCAGCUAGGUCCAAGAUCAAUCCAGCAGCAGGACCACACACUGCACUGCUGCUUGAUGUGUUAUUUCUGUAAGUCUCCCAAAAAUGGUUAAAAAUGUUACAUGGGCCGCUGUGUAGGGGAAUGUCUGUGUGUAGGCAGGGUGGAGUUGAUAUUCCACAGAGAUUCUCAAGUCUGUUAUCUUUUCCUUUGAACCAGAACAAAAGAAAUACAUACAUACAAUAUUAUGCUGUGCUGGGUUAGUGUUGGACUUUACAAUCUCAGAUCUCAUUUUCAACCUAAACCAUGUUAAGAUUCCACUGCCCUGCACUGUACUACAGGGAGCCAAAAAAAAAAAAAAUCAGAGUAGAAUUUUUCUGGGGAAGUGUCAGAUAAUGAAAGCAUGGAAGCUGCAAUGUGUCUGGAUGACAUUUAAGUGUGAAAAACGUGUUUUCCUAUAAAAUACAAAUUAAUAAAAAGGAAUCAGUCAUGGAUUCCUAGGUUUUUCAGAACAGCAAGCAUGCAGCCUGGCCAGUAAAGCAAAGUACACCUACAGCUGGGGACUAAGCAGGACCAAGGCCUGGGCAAAGCGAGGAUCACCCACACCAUUGCACAGAAACAACCACAAGAAUGUUUUACAGAGUAGUGGUAAAUUUUGAUGACAACACAAAGCUAGACACCAAAAGAGGACUGGGAUAUUUUAUUACAAUACUUUGAGAACUGUAGUAAAAAAAGCUGUAAAAUUUAAUCAUACAGAGUAUAAACUGAAGCACCUCUAAGGACGAAAAGUAAAAGCUGUGGCUAUAAACUGGUGUUUCAUCAGCUGGGAAAGGGCCAGAGGAUGGGCCUGUAGGGAAAGAAGUGGACUGCUAACAUUUUACAGCGCAUGGGUGGCAUCUAAAUAAAAAAAGUACUAUUCCAGCCUUCCUUAUUUUAUAAAAGAUCAAUCUAAAUCAAACCAGGCACACAGCAGCUCUAUAUAAAUAAUCACAGAGCCUUUGUGAUGAGAAGAAAUUAACCUUUCUUUGUCUAGAAAAACCUAGGAAUCCAUGACA